UUUCCAGGAGUUGAAAUAGCCAGAUCAGGCCAAGGAAAGCAAUCCCCACCAACAAAUCCAUUAUCCGUACUCUCAAACUGCCACGUGUUACCCAUUCCACCUCCAGUACCACCGUGGCCGCCAACACCAGCGGCACCAUCUCCCAUACUAGGAAAAGGCCACACUCCUCUCCCAAGCCCAAAGCCCAUCUCCUCAAACCCAGUCCCUAGACCAACCCCAAAUCCUCCCAGCGCCAAGAACCCAGGUCCCUGAGUAUUCAACAAAGAUGUAAAGCUCCCGCACACGGCAGAAGCAGCCGUGGUGCUACUCCCGCUAUCCUUCCCAUCGCCGCCUCCACCACCACAGCCAAACUGUACGGAAGUUCCUUGAUUGGUCAUGAAGGGCACCAAUACAGGAGUAGUUGGUAAAGGGAGAUUAUCAGCUGUGGUGGCAGUGAUAGGACCUACCACAGUUGCAGUAGCACCAGUACGUGACCGCUUGGCAUUCUUGCGG
RNAcentral lists this unclassified non-coding RNA (492 nucleotides) under Hevea brasiliensis (rubber tree). The record is from RNAcentral. Lineage: Eukaryota; Viridiplantae; Streptophyta; Magnoliopsida; Malpighiales; Euphorbiaceae.